UACAGAGGGUGCGAGCGUUAAUCGGAAUUACUGGGCGUAAAGGGUGCGUAGGUGGUUAUUUAAGUCAGAUGUGAAAGCCCUGGGCUCAACCUAGGAAUUGCAUUUGAUACUGAGUAGCUAGAGUAUGGUAGAGGGAAGUGGAAUUUCCGGUGUAGCGGUGAAAUGCGUAGAUAUCGGAAGGAACAUCAGUGGCGAAGGCGGCUUCCUGGACUGAUACUGACACUGAGGCACGAAAGCAUGGGGAGCGAACAGG
RNAcentral lists this ribosomal RNA (253 nucleotides) under uncultured bacterium. Its description in RNAcentral is "partial 16S ribosomal RNA". It matches the Rfam family "Bacterial small subunit ribosomal RNA", at positions 524 to 776 of the family's 1533-position model. The record is from RNAcentral.